Molecule: transfer-messenger RNA, 375 nt
Filed under: Bacteroidia
Lineage: Bacteria; Pseudomonadati; Bacteroidota
Also listed under: 1 other name
Description: UBA9320 sp913054375 Standard tmRNA
Rfam family: transfer-messenger RNA
About the family: Bacterial tmRNA, also known as 10Sa RNA or SsrA, is named for its dual tRNA and mRNA-like properties.
Source: RNAcentral
GGGGCUGUUCUGGCUUUUGACGGGUUGGCCGAUAGAUGUGUAAGCAUGUAGAGCGUUGAAAGUGCGGCUCUUAAAUCUCGACUUUCAAAACACAACCGGCGAAAACAACUUCGCAAUGGCUGCGUAGUCUUAGAGACUAGAGCAAAUGCCAUCCGCUUGCCCAAGUCAUGUCUCGGAUACGAGGGAUCACAAGCGGUCGAUAAUCUGAGAUAAUUUUAGCCUAUUUCUACCACGUUAAAAUUUAUUAUGUAGGAUAAGGAUUGGUUGGGUUUUUGACCCACCUGACCCAUCUCGAAAACCAAGGGACAAUAAACAUGUAGAAAACGCAAUUCUAUUCCAAUUCGGACCCGAGUUCGACUCUCGGCAGCUCCACCA